AUCUAAACCAGCGUGCAAAGACGUCCGGUAAACAACUAGUUUAGCUCCUAAAUUGAAUCUCAGCAGCGCAUUUCACCCUGCCGCAGUUCAGACUUCCAACACCCCAGCAGAAUUUGGUGCUCCGAGGCCAUUCCACUUUCUCCCAAUCUACAGCGGCAGGUACAAUUCCCUCGAUUUACCAUCAGCUACAAUUUACAUUCCAUAAACCUGCGUUGAUCUCUCUUUCUAGUUCUCCACAGCUUCAUCAGCUGAUUAUCUCCCUUCCACACCUGAUUUUGUGUUGGGUGUGUGUGAUCAGUAGAGUUUUUAUAUGCUAGAUUAAAAUCUACUUAGGAUUAAUUGAGCACGAAUAUGAAUGGAAUGGUGGAAUAAAGCUGGUCUGGCAUUCCAAAUUGGGAGGUUAUGAGCAUUAAAACUGGAUUAACUGGAUAUAAAAUGCAAGCAGGGAGAUUUUUCGUCUUUGGGGCUUUUUUCUUAUCAUGGAAACAAAAAAUUUAAUUGGGGAAAAUAAAAUUUGUCCUGAAUUCAGUAGGACAAUAAGAAUGUUAGAAGUUAAUUUUGCUUUGAAAUAUGUCAGUUUGACGUAGGAUAUAAAUUAUUGUUCUUCAUCACCCUUAAAAACAAAAGGAAAUGAAGUAAAAUAUAUUCUAUGACGUAAAUUAAUGUUGCACAGAAAUUGUUUAAUAAAGUUUUACAAAAAAUACAAGUUAUUUUCACUGCUUAGUUGCAUUGGCCUUUGGCAAUCAGUUUACUUUUUUCCAUGGUUUCUUUUGCUUUCUUUCGAUUGAAGAAGGUUUGCCUCAUAACGCACAAGGAUUGGACAACUGUGACAGGAAACAUAAAA
Molecule: long non-coding RNA, 844 nt
Filed under: Coffea arabica (coffee)
Lineage: Eukaryota; Viridiplantae; Streptophyta; Magnoliopsida; Gentianales; Rubiaceae
Description: long non-coding RNA (CARA_LNC005666)
Source: RNAcentral